UCGCUCGCCUUUGAUAACACUGGUCUAGAUGAUAAAAAAAAAAAAAAAAAUUGAAAAGAAACUCAGCAGAGCUUGCAAUCUUUAGAACAAGAAGGAAUACAAUCCAAAUGAAUCUAACAACUCAAAUGGCCAUCCAGAGAAACUCCAGCCCAGCAAUUUAAAAAUGCCGUUACAAUGAAAAUACUUCUGCCUGCCUAUUCUCUAUAAAGCAACACUUAUUUAUAGAUUCUGCCUAUAAUUUGCUCUGCUGUGGUAUAAACAACUCCAGCUCAUUUCCUAUUUUUCCGCGCUCUUCUAUCUUCAUCUCGAAUCUUCCACAUUCUUCUGUCUUAGCUACCACUUGUCUUUCAUCUUUUCUAAAUUUCUUCCUUGAGUAAACUUGUAAGGGCUUAGGCUUGCUAUCAACCAGGCUCAUAUUAGGAUCCAUAACAUUGCCGUCUGCAGGAAGAACAACCUUGUCCUCAAGGCUGAAAGAAGGAAAUUGAUUUCGAAUAUCCACUGGAUCCAUCCAUGUAGCUUCCUCAACUGGCUUAUCCCUCCUUUGAAUUAAAACUUGUGUGACAAUCCCAUUUUCACUCUGCUUUUGACGCCAUUUGAGGACUUUGAGUGGUUCUAUAUUCGAAUCAUCUAACUCCAUUUCUCUUGGUAAUUUAGUGACAACAGGAUGUUUACCAUUUGUUUUCUUUAAUUAAGACACAUGAAAAACAGGAUGGAUCUUUGAGUCACUAGGUAACAAUAACUUAUAAGCCACAACUCCCAUUUUCUCAAUAAUGGUAAAAAGACCAAAAUAAUGAGUAGGUAACCUAGGCACCGCCCGAUAUUGGAGAGAAACAGAGCGAUGGGGACGAAAUUUGAGAAAGACAGAAUUACCUGUCUGAAACUGCACAUCCCGCCUAUGAAUGUUAGCUACUUUCACCAUGCGUUGUUAGGCUUGGGAUAAAUUAUAUUUCAGCCAACGUAGAAUUUCAUCUCUAUUGAGCAAUGUUUGAGCCACAGCUUGUAUUUUAGUUUCUCCUAGCAGAAAUUUAGUUAGAGAUGAAGGAGGCCGGCCAUAUAUUUCUUCGAAAUGAAUCAUACGAGUAGCAGAAUGAUGACUCAUAUUGUAACAAAUUCUGCCUAAGAUAACCAUCGACUCCAUUGUUUAGGCUAUUCUAAGUUUUAAGGCAGCGAUUAAGCACCUCCUUUUGGCCAUCCGUCUCGGUGUGAUAAGCAGUGCUCAUCUUCACCUUGGUGCCUUGCAAUCUAAAUAAUUCUUGCUAGAAAUUACAGGGGAACAAAGGAUCCCGAUUGCUCACUAUUGACUUUGAAACUCCAUGAAGGCGGAUAACUUCUUUAAAAAUAAUUUUGCAACUCCUCUAGCAGUGAAUGGGUGCUUUAAGCCCAAAAAAUGCGCAUUAGAUAAACGAUCUACUACGACCAAUAUACAAUCAAUGCCAUUUGACUUAGGUAGUUUCGUCACAAAUUUCAUAAAGAUGUCCUUCCAGAUUGCUGAAGGAAUAGGCAAUGGUUGAAGAAGUCUUACUGGACUUGUUGUAUGAUACUUGUUUUUCAGGCAAAUUAAAUAGUUUGCUACAAAUUCUUGCACCUGUUUCAUCAUUCCCUUCCAGUAGAGUGAAAUAACUAGCCGUCGGUAGGUUCUAUAAGCUCUCGUAUAGCCUCCCAUUGGUGAGGUAUGGAAUUCUUCCAACAGAACAAGGAUGGCCAACGAAUGUGCAGGUAGCUCCAGUCUUUCUCGAUAGAACAACCGCUGCUGUAUAAGUUGGUAUUGGGGAUGGGAAGCUGGAUUAACCUGACAUUCUGAAAUAAGCUAUUGUAAGGAGGAAUCUUGCUUUAACUCUUCAUCUAACUUAGCCAUGUCCACCCACACUUUCGUAGACAAAACUUGGCCGUCCAUUUCAUCGCAACGCGAGGGAGCAUCUGCUACCUUAUUGGUGAUGCUCGGCUUAUAGAAAAUUUGAAAGUCAUAGCCCAACAAUUUAGGAAGCCAAUUUUGUUGAGCCUGAGUGGUGACUAGUUGUUGAAGCAAGUGACGCAAACUCUUCUAAUCCUUAUGAACAAUAAAUUUCCUUCUCAUCAAAUAACAUCUCCAAUGGUGAAUUGCUAGGACAAAUGCCAUCAUUUUUUUCUCAUAUGUGGACUUACUCAGAGCAGUGGCAAAUAAUGCUUUGCUAAAAUAAGCAAUU
RNAcentral lists this unclassified non-coding RNA (2183 nucleotides) under Hevea brasiliensis (rubber tree). Lineage: Eukaryota; Viridiplantae; Streptophyta; Magnoliopsida; Malpighiales; Euphorbiaceae. The record is from RNAcentral.